UGGGGAAUUUUGGACAAUGGGGGCAACCCUGAUCCAGCAAUGCCGCGUGUGUGAAGAAGGCCUUCGGGUUGUAAAGCACUUUUGUCCGGGAAGAAAUCGCACCUGAUAAUACCGGGUGUGGAUGACGGUACCGGAAGAAUAGGACCGGCUAACUACGUGCCAGCAGCCGCGGUAAUACGUAGGGUCCAAGCGUUAAUCGGAAUUACUGGGCGUAAAGCGUGCGCAGGCGGUUGUGCAAGACCGAUGUGAAAUCCCCGGGCUUAACCUGGGAAUUGCAUUGGUGACUGCACGGCUAGAGUGUGUCAGAGGGGGGUAGAAUUCCACGUGUAGCAGUGAAAUGCGUAGAGAUGUGGAGGAAUACCGAUGGAGAAGGCAGCCCCCUGGGAUAACACUGACGCUCAUGCACGAAAGCGUGGGGAGCAAACAGG
Molecule: ribosomal RNA, 428 nt
Filed under: bacterium
Lineage: Bacteria
Description: partial 16S ribosomal RNA
Rfam family: Bacterial small subunit ribosomal RNA
Source: RNAcentral